RNAcentral lists this long non-coding RNA (129 nucleotides) under Phasianus colchicus (ring-necked pheasant). RNAcentral's name for it is "lncRNA (ENSPCLG00000013577.1)". The record is from RNAcentral. Lineage: Eukaryota; Metazoa; Chordata; Aves; Galliformes; Phasianidae.
GAGUCAACCUCACGCUCCCACCGUGCAGAAGCUGCUAAAAGAUACUGGAGUUAAGUACCGUGCUAUUUUAACUGUGGUUUGGGCUGGAGAAGAGUCCCUUGGCAUCCUGAGGAAAAUUAUGCUUAGGCG